Long non-coding RNA from Astatotilapia calliptera (eastern happy), 882 nucleotides. The record is from Ensembl. Lineage: Eukaryota; Metazoa; Chordata; Actinopteri; Cichliformes; Cichlidae.
UGUCCUGCCAUGCUUGUUGGCACAUUAACCACACUUAACUCCCUCACUUCCUGACACAGAAUAAAUGUUUGGCCUUUGCCCGGCCUCUUGGUGAGCGCUUUGCUGUUAAGCAUGAUGUGGGACUCAACACCACGGGGGACAGAUUCUUGGCACCAGCAAAGGGAAACAUUAAACACAGGCUGAUGGCUGUGACACCAAGAGAUUGGGAGAGGGAUUCAGAGAUUUAUCACCCUGCAGGCCAGGAACACAUCCAGACACCACCGCCUAGCUCACUUAGCAACGUUUUAGGUCAAAAAGACUUGGUCUCAACAAGCAUUUCAAGGGCUUGUGUGGUAUCUGAAAAAAAGAUGUUUUUCCACUCCAGCCUGGUCCUGCGGCGUCCACCUGUUCAUCAAUGCCAGCAAUCAGUGGGAGCUGUAUUUUAAGCAGCCACACCACGAGUCCAUGCCACGCUGAACUACUCUUCUCUUCCGUUAGCUGCUGAGCUCAGCUUAAGGUUGCUCACGCUUCUCUGGAUUCAUGCCGUCUUUACCUGCCUGUCCUCCUGCCCACCGGCUCUGGUUGCACCUGGAAAACAGGUUGGAAUUUGUUUGCAUCUGGACAUUCACUCAGAAACGCUCCUCGCAUACUCAAGUAAACCACUAACCCUGCCAGUGUUACUCUGCUUCUGGUUCCUCUCACUCAGAUCAGUAACCGAUCUCUCCUCUGUUUCAGUGUCCAUCACCUCAGAGACUUGCUGCCACUCUCAUAGUCGAACCAGGGCUCCUACAGUCACACCAUGUCACUGUAUAUUGUGUAUAUACACAGUAAAGUACAGAAAGCUAUUCUUGCCUUUGUAUUGUGUCUUGCAUUUGGGUCCAAGUUGUAUUGACACUUUUCAAC